This 213-nucleotide long non-coding RNA is filed under the name Elaeis guineensis (African oil palm). RNAcentral describes it as "long non-coding RNA (EGUI_LNC006476)". The record is from RNAcentral. Lineage: Eukaryota; Viridiplantae; Streptophyta; Magnoliopsida; Arecales; Arecaceae.
GAAAAGAGAAGAAUAAAGAAUUAGUUUUGAGGCUAUUUUCCAACGAUCCAUUGUCAGAUUUCAACCAUAGAAGGAGGAUCAAAUGAAGAAAAGCAUAAGGAAAGAGAUUUGAAUCUUAUCUAGGCUCCAGCGAGCAGUACAAUCGUGGAUUUGAUGGUCGAAAUAGGGCAUAGCUGACCUAACAAAGAAGUGGAGAUAAGGAGAGAGAGAUCG